This 253-nucleotide ribosomal RNA is filed under the name uncultured bacterium. Its description in RNAcentral is "partial 16S ribosomal RNA". It matches the Rfam family "Bacterial small subunit ribosomal RNA", at positions 524 to 776 of the family's 1533-position model. The record is from RNAcentral.
UACAGAGGGUGCAAGCGUUAAUCGGAAUUACUGGGCGUAAAGGGCGCGUAGGCGGCGGGGUAAGUCUGGUGUGAAAUCUCGGAGCUCAACUCCGAAAUUGCACUGGAUACUGCUCUGCUAGAGGGCUGGAGAGGAGAUCGGAAUUCACGGUGUAGCAGUGAAAUGCGUAGAUAUCGUGAGGAAGACCAGUGGCGAAGGCGGAUCUCUGGACAGCUCCUGACGCUGAGGCGCGAAGGCUAGGGGAGCAAACGGG